RNAcentral lists this ribosomal RNA (468 nucleotides) under uncultured bacterium. RNAcentral's name for it is "partial 16S ribosomal RNA". It matches the Rfam family "Bacterial small subunit ribosomal RNA", at positions 28 to 507 of the family's 1533-position model. The record is from RNAcentral.
GACGAACGCUGGCGGCGUGCUUAACACAUGCAAGUCGAACGGAAAGGCCCUGCUUUUGUGGGGUGCUCGAGUGGCGAACGGGUGAGUAACACGUGAGUAACCUGCCCUUGACUUUGGGAUAACUUCAGGAAACUGGGGCCAAUACCGGAUAGGAGCUCCUGCUGCAUGGUGGGGGUUGGAAAGUUUCGGCGGUUGGGGAUGGACUCGCGGCUUAUCAGCUUGUUGGUGGGGUAGUGGCUUACCAAGGCUUUGACGGGUCGCCGGCCUGAGAGGGUGACCGGCCACAUUGGGACUGAGAUACGGCCCAGACUCCUACGGGAGGCAGCAGUGGGGAAUAUUGCACAGUGGGCGGAAGCCUGAUGCAGUAACGCCGCGUGCGGGAUGACGGCCUUCGGGUUGUAAACCGCUUUCGCCUGUGACGAAGCGUGAGUGACGGUAAUGGGUAAAGAAGCACCGGCUAACUACGUG